AGUUGAACAGUUAUUUAGAUGGCUCAUUUAAAAUUUGGUUCAUGAUGGCUAUUAUUAUAUGUGACUGCCUUUAUGUGUUGGAAUUUUGUGUGUUUAUAGCUAAAUCUUAUCGUUGCGACACAAUUAUAUGUUUAAAAACAUUACUUUAGUUACAUACCUCUACACCAGAAAGAUCUAAAGUGAAAACAUAUUGUUUGUUGAAUAAAAAGGGUACAUCAGAAUGUGGUGGAAUAUAUAAUUGCAGGUUCACAUUGUUUUAGUAUCUGAAAAAUAU
RNAcentral lists this long non-coding RNA (274 nucleotides) under Brassica napus (rape). RNAcentral describes it as "long non-coding RNA (BNAP_LNC008403)". Lineage: Eukaryota; Viridiplantae; Streptophyta; Magnoliopsida; Brassicales; Brassicaceae. The record is from RNAcentral.